GGUUCGUAGACCGUACAAUGAUCUGUAAUUGUUCAAAUCUUUGUCCUUUUUGUCUAUAUGGAUAGAUUUUUCAUUGGCAACUAUACCAGCUCAUCUUAUUUUGUAGGUCUUAUAUGUUUGUAUUGUCCCUGGAGAUGAGUAGACAAGAUGCAGGUUGGUAAUGGCAGUUAUUUGAUUGUUUUUGUUAAAUUUCUUCAAUUUAUAAAGACUCUGGACGAUAAAGACAUGUAAUACAGACACAGAUAAUUUUGUGCAUAUACUUCACAUGAUGUCAUCUACUUUUAUUCAUAUACGUAUUUCUUGUGUAACAUGCUAAACAAUAUUUAUUCCGUUAUUACACUAACUGGCUUUACUUUUGGUUCUUUUUAGUUGUAUCAGCUCAUCACGUUUAUAGUUAGUUUUGGACCUCCAAAUAUUUUGGCUGGAGCAUCACUGAGGAGAUACUUUAAUACGGUCGAAGUAUGCAUCUGUUGCAAUUACAAUCGGUACAGUUAUAAUGUUAAUAUUAUUACGUAAUUAGUACGUAUAUCAUGUACUGACUUACUAUAUUGUUUUUAGUUGUUAUUAAACUUAUGGUUUAAUUAAUUGUGUUAAUAUAUGUUUUCAUUUUAGUAUUAUUGUCAUUUUGUUUAUUUUUUUUGUUACAUCUUCUGACAUCAGACUCUGACUUCUCUUGAACUGAAUUUUAAUGUGCGUUUUGUUAUGCGUUUACUUUUCUACAUUGGCUAGAGGUAUAGGGGAAGGGUUGAGAUAUCAUAAACAUGUUUAACCCCACCGCAUUUUUGCGCCAGUCCCAAGUCAGGAGCCUCUGGCCUUUGUUAGUCUUGUAUUAUUUUUAAUUUUACUUUCUUGUGUACAAUUUGGAGUUAAGUAUGGCGUUCAUUAUCACUGAAC
This 894-nucleotide long non-coding RNA is filed under the name Mytilus galloprovincialis (Mediterranean mussel). The record is from RNAcentral. Lineage: Eukaryota; Metazoa; Mollusca; Bivalvia; Mytilida; Mytilidae.